GACGAACGCUGGCGGCGUGCUUAACACAUGCAAGUCGAGCGGUAAGGCCCUUUCGGGGGUACACGAGCGGCGAACGGGUGAGUAACACGUGGGUGACCUGCCCUCAGCUCUGGGAUAAGCCUGGGAAACCGGGUCUAAUACCGGAUAUGACUCCAUGACGCAUGUUGUGGGGUGGAAAGCCUUGUGCGGCUGAGGAUGGGCCCGCGGCCUAUCAGCUUGUUGGUGGGGNGAUGGCCUACCAAGGCGACGACGGGUAGCCGGCCUGAGAGGGCGACCGGCCACACUGGGACUGAGACACGGUCCGGACUCCUACGGGAGGCAGCAGUGGGGAAUAUUGGACAAUGGGGAAACCCUGAUCCAGCGACGCCGCGUGGGUGAAGAAGGCCUGCGGGUUGUAAAG
Molecule: ribosomal RNA, 400 nt
Filed under: uncultured bacterium
Lineage: Bacteria
Description: bacterial SSU rRNA
Rfam family: Bacterial small subunit ribosomal RNA
Source: RNAcentral